Molecule: long non-coding RNA, 631 nt
Filed under: Volvox carteri
Lineage: Eukaryota; Viridiplantae; Chlorophyta; Chlorophyceae; Chlamydomonadales; Volvocaceae
Description: long non-coding RNA (VCAR_LNC001321)
Source: RNAcentral
ACGCAGCAACCGACCCGCAAAACAUCACGCUCCAACCUGCCAAACCUACAAACACGCCUCCUAGAAAUGAAGCUUCGAACAUUAUCAUGCAUCCCAAACCGCCAUCCUGGUAUGCCUGUACAUCCGCAAACGAGGCUGUAUGAAUACAGGGCAAGGUACUUGGUGGUACAUGUCUGCCAACCUGCUGGGAAAAUAUAAUAACGACAGACAAGGACCUCAUGUUUAUGCCCCGCCAAACAUACAGGUGAAAAUAACCUAACACCAAAGCAGCCUAGCCUGCUCUGCGCUGCUAUUUCGAGUGCUGUAGCCAAGAGCCGCAAAGAAAAACUCAUCCCUCCCACACUACUGCAAUCCUCUACGAUCCUUCCUGCGCGCGCACGAGCACUGCUGCUCCUUGUCACCGUAUCUAACCCGACUCAAGACGGUUCAAGGGCCCCGUGAAGAAGGGCACGAGAAACAGCAGGCAUUCGCAAACAAAUGGCGAAAGUGCCUUCCUCACGCUUACCGGACAGACAUGGCCAAUAUCCAUCGCCCGAUUAACUGCUGCUACCACCGUAAAGUGCAAGAUGAUUCACUUCCGUACAACAUCCGCGCGGUGCUGUAAUCGUUGCGUGGCAGUGUCCUCGGCUAC